GAGAGAUGGCUGAGUGGUUUAUAGCCCCGGUCUUGAAAACCGGUAUAGUUCGAAAAACUAUCGAGGGUUCGAAUCCCUCUCUCUCCU
Molecule: transfer RNA, 87 nt
Filed under: Pleuropterus multiflorus (tuber fleeceflower)
Lineage: Eukaryota; Viridiplantae; Streptophyta; Magnoliopsida; Caryophyllales; Polygonaceae
Description: Fallopia multiflora tRNA-Ser
Rfam family: tRNA
About the family: Transfer RNA (tRNA) molecules are approximately 80 nucleotides in length.
Source: RNAcentral